Molecule: ribosomal RNA, 497 nt
Filed under: uncultured bacterium
Lineage: Bacteria
Description: bacterial SSU rRNA
Rfam family: Bacterial small subunit ribosomal RNA
Source: RNAcentral
ACUCAAAGGAAUUGACGGGGGCCCGCACAAGCAGUGGAGUAUGUGGUUUAAUUCGAAGCAACGCGAAGAACCUUACCAGGGCUUGACAUCCCUAGAAUUCUGUGGAGACAUAGGAGUGCCUUCGGGAACUAGGUGACAGGUGGUGCAUGGUUGUCGUCAGCUCGUGUCGUGAGAUGUUGGGUUAAGUCCCGCAACGAGCGCAACCCUUGCCUUUAGUUGCUACCAUUCAGUUGAGAACUUUAAAGGGACUGCCGAUGACAAAUCGGAGGAAGGUGGGGACGACGUCAAAUCAUCAUGCCCCUUAUGUCCUGGGCUACACACGUACUACAAUGGCAGUUAACAACGGGAAGCGAAACCGCGAGGUGGAGCGGAGCCCAAAAAGCUGUCUCAGUUCGGAUUGCAGGCUGAAACUCGCCUGCAUGAAGUCGGAAUUGCUAGUAAUCGCGGAUCAGCAUGCCGCGGUGAAUACGUUCCCGGGCCUUGCACACACCGCCCGU